Molecule: unclassified non-coding RNA, 179 nt
Filed under: Borreliella valaisiana
Lineage: Bacteria; Pseudomonadati; Spirochaetota; Spirochaetia; Spirochaetales; Borreliaceae
Description: partial 5S-23S ribosomal RNA intergenic spacer
Source: RNAcentral
UUUUAUCUUCCAUCUCUAUUUUGCCAAUUUGUUUAUGCAACAUAAAAUAAUAUAUAUCUUUUGUUCAAUCCAUGUCAAUAUCUAUUUUAUUUUUUACAUUAUUUGAAUAAAACAUUCAAAAACAUGAACAUUAUAAAAAUAUAAAAAAUAAAUUUAGGAUUUAAAGUACAAAAUAAAAA